Molecule: ribosomal RNA, 254 nt
Filed under: uncultured bacterium
Lineage: Bacteria
Description: partial 16S ribosomal RNA
Rfam family: Bacterial small subunit ribosomal RNA
Source: RNAcentral
UACGUAGGGGGCAAGCGUUGUCCGGAUUUAUUGGGCGUAAAGAGCGUGUAGGCGGCCAGGUAGGUCUGCUGUGAAAACUCGAGGCUUAACCUCGAGCUGUCGGCGGAAACCAUCUGGCUAGAGUCCGGAAGAGGAGAAUGGAAUUCCCGGUGUAGCGGUGAAAUGCGUAGAGAUCCGGAGGAACCCCAGAGGCGAAGGCGGCAGCCUGGUUGGCUCCUGACGCUCGGACACGACAGCAUGGGGGAGCGAACGGG